AACUUUUAGCAAUGUAUCUCUUGUCUCUCGCAUCGAUGAAGAACGCAGCGAAAUGCGAUAAGUAAUGUGAAUUGCAGAUUUCAGUGAAUCAUCGAAUCUUUGAACGCACCUUGCGCUCGUUGGUAUUCCUUAGAGCAUGCCUGUUUGAGUGUCAUUAAAAUCUCAACUCUUCCAAUGGUUGUCACAAACUGUUGCUUUGAAGAGCUUGGAUAUGAGGGUUGUUGCCGGCUUUUUCCAAGUCGGCUCCCUUGAAAUACAUUAGUGCGCAGCUCUGCUAGUUUGCUUCAGGUGUGAUAAUCUAUCUACUCCUUGGCGGACAAGCAUGAAUAAGUGCUUCUAACAGUCUCUUCAAUGAGACAACUUACUUUGGUACUUGACCUCAAAUCAGGUAAGACUACCCGCUGAACUUAAGCAUAUCAAUAAGCGGAGGCU
RNAcentral lists this unclassified non-coding RNA (432 nucleotides) under uncultured Pterula. RNAcentral's name for it is "sequence contains ITS2". The stretch from base 1 to 154 matches the Rfam family "5.8S ribosomal RNA". Lineage: Eukaryota; Fungi; Basidiomycota; Agaricomycetes; Agaricales; Pterulaceae. The record is from RNAcentral.